Molecule: long non-coding RNA, 7412 nt
Filed under: Lactuca sativa (garden lettuce)
Lineage: Eukaryota; Viridiplantae; Streptophyta; Magnoliopsida; Asterales; Asteraceae
Description: long non-coding RNA (LSAT_LNC002572)
Source: RNAcentral
AUUCCUCUUACAUGGAUAUACUUAUAGGGAUACACUUACAGAGAUCUCCGCUUACAUGAAUACGUUUACAUAGAUACGCUUACAUGAAUACGUUUACAUAGAUGUGUUUACAUGAAUACGUUUACGUAGAUAAUAUAUGAUGAGUUACUAUUACAUAUUAUAUGUGUAGAUACUGUUAUAUAGUUCUCCUUCUUAUCUUUACCUUGUGAUACAAUCACAUAAUCGACGAGAUAGAUUGGACUUUAUAUCCUAGUACCAAAGGAUACUUUGUGGGACUAACCAUUCCUAUAGCCACUGUUAGCUACAGAGGAUAAUGACACAUCUACUGAUGUCUACGGUUAAUACUUAUACUAGGAAGACAUUUAAGGAACUAACCAUUCCUUCCACCUGUUGUUAGCUACAGAGGAAAAUGAACAUCUACGGAUAUUCACGGUGAGAACAUUUCGGCAGUCGCGACGUCGUGUUUAUCCUAAUACCAAAGGAUAAUACUUAUAUGGCUAUAUUUUCCUUAUUACUUUUAUUUUGUGAUACAUUCACGUAAACGAUGAAGUAGACUAUAUAUAUUGUUAAUAUUAUUCAUAAAGGGGAAAACCAUCUUUGUUACAGCAAAACAUACAAGUCUUGGUAGAAGACUACUUUCAAAACAUUCAGGUCUUGGUAGAAGACUACUUUUUAUACUAGUAGAAAAUAUGGGAUUUUCUAGGAGUUUUCAAAACAUAUACAAACAAUUACAUUGAACGAUUUCAAAUGUUAUCAUCAAACUUAUACGAACAAUGACAUUAAAUACUUAUGAACUCACCAGCUUAAAUGCUGAUCUACGCUUUCAAAAUAACUUGUAUUCUCAGGUCACCAGUAGACAGGUACGAUGACCAGGUUUUGCAAAGACGGAGCAAUCAAGACUCAUAUUUUAUUUUCAUUACCUAUUGUAAUGUCUUAUUCUAUGAAAGAACACACAUGUAUUAAACUAUUACUAUUAAUGCAAUGGACGAUGUUGUUUCUUGUUUACUACUUUACAUUUUUUUGAUACAUACAUGACGUCCUCCGCCUCAGAACGUUUCCGCCAUUCCCGGUUUUGGGGUGUGACAGAUUGGUAUCAGAGCAUUGUUUAUAGUGAAUUGAGUAUAUCAACCCAUAAAAGAUAUACUAACUAUAACUACAAUGGGAUUAAAAUACUUUGAAUUAGAGUUUAUACUUCUGUAUAAUAAAAUAUUUAACUAAGUAUACGUUUCUGCAUUCAUACUAAAAUCGGUGUCACAACGACAAGAACAAAAGUAUUACGAUUGUUGAAUAUCACAAGUAAGCUUGGGGAUGUAUAGUCAGUCUUGGGAGUGGCAUAGCCUGAUCAACUAUGCUGGUCCGAGGAGUGAUUAGCAUAUGCCCAAGAAUGGUUGUGAUGUAGCAACAAUUCUAAAAACUUACCAACAUUACCACCUUGAGAACAUUAUAACAGAACCUAAGUUUAAAAUACCAUAGGGGUGUUUUGUGUUACCAUAAUUACUUACUUGAGAACUAAAAAGGACCUUCAUUACUAAGUUGAUAGUUGCUAAGUGGAUACACUCAGGCUAUAUGUACCUAGGAUGUUAUACACUUAGAAUCGGUGAAGUUUUUGCUUUACCCUUGUUCUUUGUGAAUUUGGAGUUAAGGUCACUUAUUUGAAAGCCUAUCCUGUAUUGAUUACAUAUGACUGGUAUGCACUUUACAAAUAGCGAUGUAACUAAUGAAGAUUUUCUAAUAAUUAUCUAGAUAGUUCGUCUAGUAAUUAUUUGCUUACCCCAAUUCUCGCGUAAAUAACAUAACUGGACUCCAUCCCCAUGACAACCCGUACCUUCCGAACAAAGGCAAUGUUGGAUGGUUUGAAGAAGAACUAGAGAGUGAUCAUCCAAUCCCUCUGAAUGAUCACCAUGCUGAAAAACUUUCGGAUGUUGAUAACUCCUAACCCAAGGUUGAGAACCUACCCCAGGCAGCUCCUGUUCCAAUUCCUAACCCUCGUCCGACUUUUGAUGGCCCGACGCCCCCUUGGGUAGAAUAUUUGGAGAUAGGGAAUGAAGAGCAAGAUCAACCUAUGUCAUUUGAGAGAGACCGAAGCUUCUACAACACAAGUGAAGGAAGCUCAGCAGACAGAAUUCUUCCAAUUCUACCUGCAGAGUUUCUCGAAACGAAAUUCAGGGUAGGACGGCUCUCCAACGUAUCUAAGAGGUUAAUGUCAAUGCCAGAAUGCAUACCAUUCGCACCAAUCGCCUUGAUCACAAGUGAGAGAUCCGAGAGAAACCAUGAGACCUUGCUGCAAGCACUAGCUGAAACCCGAGUCGAAAUCAUAGAGCUCCAAGUACGCCAUAAGGUGUACGAAAGAUGCCUGCUUGAUAUAGAACGUCAACUAGCUGAACUAAGGGUUUACCAUAAGGGUGAUCGUCGCCAGUAGUAAAUGCCUUACUUUAUUUUCCUUGUAAAAAGGAAUCAUUUUCUGUCUAUGCCCGAUGUCGCAUUUUCUAUGAAAUUAUCUUGUAAUGUAAGUACAUUUGGUUCGGCGUUUAUGAUGUCAAGAACUAUCUUCUAUGGAUAUGAUGUAAGACCUUUUACAAGGUCAUUUUCCCGAACUUUUACGUCAUGAAUAUCAAAGAUAUUGACAGUCAGCUAACUUCUGAGUCAUUCUUUAUUGAAGUACUCUUAUCAUACUUUCAUUGGAGUCUAUCUGAAACAUGUUUUAGUCAAGUCAUUGGACUAUAGUAAUUUAACUCCGGAAACAUUUCUAGGUCUCUUUUAGUGGUUGUAUCAUGUUAUUCACCAACCAACGAUACCUCGGCUUGAACGACAAGCGUCUUGAGACCAUUCUACGAACUUACUUCCACUCAUUACUAGGACUGCAUCAUAGGGAUGUAGGUCAAACAUUCGAGAACAUAGUCUUACUCAUUACUUGAACAAUCGAAGUACAUCUAGAGUCAACCAGAAUCCCCCACAAAAUCUUUAUCUUUCGUGUUACAGAAUCAUGUCGUCAUCCGGAAACAAUCAGCCGAACAACGAAACCCCUAUCCUCCAUAUCGACGCCGCUACAUUACAAGCUGCAGUAGCAGCUGCUGUGACAACUUUCUUUACACACAUCAACUCAGGCAACACAAGCAAGACCGACAAAGGAGUCGAGAGUUCCGAUGGUAGUACCAAACCGGGAAACCAACAAGUGGCAACUCCUGCAGAACGCUUUAGGAAGCAAUUUCCAAGAUAGUGUAAUGAGGAAGGCACUCGUGUCCACAUAACACUGGCUAAACACCUCACUCCCGCCACCAAGGCUAGCACUAGCCAGUCAUGCCACCAAUGCGGGGAGAUAGGACGCCUCAAGAAGGAUUGCCCUAUAUCAAAGAACUCUGGCACAGACGGUAGGAUUCUCAGGAUCACAAUUCAGGAGAACCUACUCCAAAACCCAUGUUAAUGUAAUUUAGGCGGUUCGUUGUAACAAACUUAUAAACCAUCCAAAAGUAGUGCAACCAGAGUCAUAUCUUUUGCGGGAUCCCGUCGGUAUAGGGAUGCUCGUGCUGCGUAUACUUGCCUUUUAUAGUAUACCUUAUUCGCAUCAAUAGUCUUGUAGUAGUCUAAAGUAUUGUAACUCUAUUGAUGGUUGCUCGGUUGUGUUUUGUCUGUAAAUGUCUUAUGUCCAAAUCUAAUGUCUUUAAAUUUCCUUAUGAUUCCGACAUUAUCAUACGACUUCAUUCAAUUCGAUUCUCACAAAAACAGCUUCAUACGUACAUCUCUUUCUUCGAAAUCGCCUUUCCAGCGAAGCCGUCAUAUCAGAACACCAAGUACUCAGGAAUGCAGUACCUCAUAGUUCUUUUCCUUUCCAAAGAAAUCCCUGAAGUGCCACUCGUAUAGUAUGUCAAGUUCAAAUCCAAAGAUCCAUACGGUUGAUCUGUCGCUGAUGACUGUAUACAUAGGGGUGAUAUAUAAUCAAAGUUCUAUAGGUUUAGAAUUGACGAUUCCACUUUAACUUCUUUUUCCUCGAUGGGAUGUGAGCUUAAAGAAAAAUCAGUUAUUUGACUACCAUUUCAAUCUUAAUUAUAUACGACUCGUAUACACGAGAUUGUGAUCGUUGAACCAUGUAUGAAUUCUAAUAUGAACUUUAGGACGAAGACUGCCCAAGACUACGAGUGAUCGUGCUGCCAUGCGAAUAAACUUAGAAGCCCAAUACAUGCCCUUUCUGUCGAUUGGGACAAGGAGACAGAUAGAACAAAAGUACCUAUCCUUUUUCCUUAAUUCAUGAGUAAUCAUACUUUCUUUUAGAUCUUCAUGACAUCUAAUCACCCACAAGGUUCUGGCAUCAUAAUCAGUAUGAAUUGGUUGUGUUCUUAUACAAGAGGAAAGGUCACUUCCUAUACCUCAAGACAACUUAACACACAGGAAGUUAACUAUACAACACAUGAUCUUGAGUAAGGAGCAGUGGUAAUUGCUAUGAAGAUCUGGAGACACUAGUUGUAGGGUACAAGAUGUACUAUUCUCACAGUCCACAAAAACAUUCAACAUACGUUCGACCAAGAAGAGUUAUCAUGCCAGUGAAGUCAAACGAAAGAAGCAAAGUCGUAUCCCGAUAGUGAAAGGUUCGUUGGAAUGCCAAGCGAGCAACCGAGUUCACUUAAGAACACUAGAAGCAAAUAAAACUUCUAACCGUAGCAUGGUUAUCAAUUCUGUUUAAACUCUAAUUUCGGGACGAAAUUCCCUCUAACGGGGGGAUGAUGUGACAACCCGAUAUUUCGAGACAAUAUGAUGGAUCACAAGUCAAAUUUACGUCAAAAUUUAACUUUCCUAAAAUCUUAUUUGGGUUAAAUAAAGUAGUAGGAAUCAUAUCAAGGUUUUCAUACAUAUAAAGAACCCUAGAAUCCGAGUUAUAACGAAGAAGUUAUGACCAACCAAAGAUUCUCGGCAAAACCGGCAACACUGAUAGACGUAAAACGCGAAGUUUCAAUACAAUAAUUUUUAGCCUUAGGUAUCUAAAUGAAAGUUUUAUAUAUCAUUAAACCGUAAAUGUACAUAAAAAGAACGUCCAAAUCUGACUUCAUAUGAGGAAGUUAUGAUUUUUCGAAGUUUCAGACAUAGUAGUAGACAACUAAAAACUCGAAAUCGAUAUUGAGCGGAUUUUUGCCAACAUGACCUAAACGAGAAUCGAAGAUCUCAUCAAUGGUAUAUCAACAGUAAAAAAUCUGGCGAAAAAAGACAGCGGAUGAAGGAGAUAUGAAAUUUUAAUGGACUUUUCCUGUCCCGGCCUAUUAAAAAUAUAAUAUUAAAAAUAAAUUCAAAAUUUGCCGACGGAGUCUAAACGAAAGUUGUAGAUCGUAGUCUCACCUACGCUUGGAUAUAAAGAACGUCGAAAACGGAGUUCGUAUGAGGAAGAUAUGAAUUUUUGAAGUUUAUUAAUAAUUAGAAUAUUUAAUUUAAUUAUAAAUACCCGAUAUUAUCCAUUGAAGGAGGAGUCACCGGUCUGAUCCGGAUUACGCCCAGCGUAAUACCUUGGUACGCCCAGCGUAAUCCAAGGAUUCAGACCCUAUAUAAAGGGUGCGAUGAUGCCGGCCAUUUUUCCUCCUUUCCUUCCUUUCUCGCGCCGAAGCUCUGCGUUUCAACCGCCAGAGUCAUCCCAAAGGCCCAGUUUUCAUAUCCAAGUUGGGAAGGAUGUUUUACGCUCCCGAGAUUCCCGAGAUUCCCGAGGAAUCCGCUUGCUUGGGUAGAAGUUCUGUUCGUUUUUCGUCUCGCUUUUCUUCAAUCUAUCAAGUGAGUUCAUACCCCUAUGAUCCACACUUUUAAAUGUUUUAUAAAUGUUUUUAUAUGCUUUUAAGGGGGGGAACACAAGUAAAACACACGAUAAUUUUCGUGUGUUAUAUAAAGUUUCAUUAUACACUUUUUAUGAAUGGAAUCAUAUGUGAUUUAUAACUAUUAUAAGGAAACUUUCAUAUGCAAAAUGUAUCACGAUAACAUCAUAUCUUUUGAAAUGAAAAAGGUUGUUAUAUAUGUAUAAAUCAAACACUCUGCUUAUACUGUAUGUUUAUGUGUCCAUCUUAGACACUAUAAAAAUUAUACUUUUCAUAACAAGUGAACAUUUUACUAGGGAUUACUAUACAAACGAGACACACUUAAAGAAAACUAUAAUAGGUAUAGUUUUACGAGAACAUCACGAACUUUUACUUACUAGAAAUACUAUUUCAAGGAGAUACAUUCAUAUACCAGAACAAACGAACAUUUUCAUAUGUACUUCAAAUAGUUUUCUCAAACGUUUUUACAUGUUGAAAUACCUUUAGAAACUGUCUUACAAACUGUAGUUUUCCUUUUUGAAUCUCUUAUAGUUGUGCUUCAAACAAAGGUUUUCUCACACUUAAACUGUGUUGUCAAACGGUUUUCGAUUUGAUUUAUAAAGUGACAUCAAGUCAUAAAUUCUUAUCUACUAAACUUUUCAAAGGUUUUACAAAACUUCUUUUAUGCUUUUAUAUUAUAAAUUGCAUGCCUCUAUAUGUAUAGUUAUAUAAGAAAUGUUUAAAAGACUUAGGAAGGCUAUCCACCCUGUUUCCUUUUCCUCGAUUUGGAUGUGGUCUGAUGGGAUAUUGGGUACUCGUCCGAAAGUCGUUUAAAUAUUAGUUAUAUAUCAUAUGUACAUAUAUAGUCUUAAAUGUUCCAUCAGUCAGUUCAAUUCCGACACUCUUGGGUAGCAAGAGUGUAUAAACCUACUUGGACACUCAUCAAUUACAUUCUAGUAAACUAUUAUAGGAAUAGUUUAGGGGAUACAAAACAUUAUUCUUAUUACAAGAAAUUACACCAGAGUCAGUUCAUUCAUGAGUCUAGACUACAUGCUAUAUGAAGGGAUACUCUUACAGAGAUUCCUCUUACAUGGAUAUACUUAUAGGGAUACUCUUACAGAGAUCUCCGCUUACAUGAAUACGUUUACAUAGAUACGCUUACAUGAAUACGUUUACAUAGAUGCGUUUACAUGAAUACGUUUACGUAGAUAAUAUAUGAUGAGUUACUAUUACAUAUUAUAUGUGUAGAUACUGUUAUAUAGUUCUCCUUCUUAUCUUUACCUUGUGAUACAAUCACAUAAUCGACGAGAUAGAUUGGACUUUAUAUCCUAGUACCAAAGGAUACUUUGUGGGACUAACCAUUCCUAUAGCCACUGUUAGCUACAGAGGAUAAUGACACAUCUCCUGAUGUCUACGGUUAAUACUUAUACUAGGAAGACAUUUAAGGAACUAACCAUUCCUUCCACCUGCUGUUAUCUAUAGAGGAAAAUGAACAUCUAUGGAUAUUCACAGUGAGAACGUUUCGGCAGUCGCGAUGUCGUGUUUAUCCUAAUACCAAAGGAUAAUACUUAUAUAGCUAUAUUUUCCCUAUUACUUUUAUUUUGUGAUACAUUCACGUAAACGAUGAAGUAGACUAUAUAUAUUGUUAAU